UGGUAAAUGUCUGGUACGCCGGGGUGAUGCUUUUGCUAACUGCUAGAUAAACCACAGCAACACGAAAAUGACAGACUACGCCGAAGAACAAAGAAAUGAACUCGAAGCAAUUGAGUCUAUCUAUCCAGACUCCUUUACAGUAUUUUCAGAGGACCCUAUCAGCUUCACUAUCACUGUCACGUCAGACGCAGGGGAAAAUGGUGAAACGGUAGAAGCAACUUUAAAGUUCACUUAUGUAGAAAAAUACCCAGAUGAGCCACCACUGUGGGAGGUCCACUCCCAGGAAAACCUUGAAAACAGUGAUAUGAAGGACAUUCUCACACUGUUGCACCAACAGGCAGAAGAAAAUCUGGGAAUGGUGAUGAUUUUUACCCUUGUGACAGCUGUGCAGGAGAAACUCAAUGAAAUUGUUGACCUGAUAAAGAACAGACGAGAAGAGGAAAAACUGCGGAAAGAGAGAGAGGCUGAGGAAGCAGAGAAGGUGGCGUUUCAAGGCACAGUGGUAACAAUUGAGAACUUCUUGGCGUGGAAAGCUAAGUUCGAACUGGAAGUGGCUGAGAUGCGGAGGAAAAAAGAGAAGGAAGAGGAGCAAUCAGGCAAAGCAAAACUCACUGGCAAACAGCUGUUUGAGAGGGACCACAAUCUGGACACCUCAGACAUUCAGUUCCUUGAAGAUGUUGGAAACAAUGUUGAGGUGGAUGAAUCAUUGUUCCAGGACAUCGAGGACUUGGAUUUGGAAGUUUUAUGCCAGAUGACCUUCCUGACGCAACCCGCUGCAGUUAUUCGGGCUUGGGACCAGCCUACAGGUUGCGCAGGAAUUGUGCUGAGGGUUGACGAGAAGCCGAAGGAAGUAAAGGAAUCUCUGAGAGCUGGAGCCAAUCUCAGCAAACUUCGGGGAGCGGCAGACUACACCCCGAACUGGUCGCCAGACAGUUGCAGUGCAGAUGUCGACACCAUCCCUAAGCGGGAAUCGAUCCCAAGCUGCCUUCACUCAAAAUGUCCCUCUGAGGGAAACCCGAACUACAACGUGGCCCGCAAGAGAAAUGAGUUUGACCAAAAAAACUUUACAGGGACAUAUGUUAAGGUGGGAAGUCUCAACAAAACAUGGUGUCAUGAUAUCCAUCUGCAAACUGCCCCACUGCUCCCAUGCAGCGAUAUGUGGUGGUGGUGUGUUGCAGAGGAUAUACAAUUGGCCGCAUCCAUCUUUGGACCUCCCCUUGGGUUCUCCCGAAGGCAAAGGUCCUCUUGGAAAGAUGGAGAUCUGACAUACAUUGAUGCAAAUGGCAUCCCAACUGCAUACCAGAUGAGUAUAAAUUGGUUAACGAGAUUGCUGCAGGAUGGGAAUCCAUCUUGUUAUGGAUAACUCUGAAUAAAAACGUUGACAGAAUCAACUACAUGUAUUACAAUGUACAGAAACUAGGUAAUUAUAUGGAAGCAGGCUUUAUUGCCACAAGGGAACAACCAGCUGCAACCUCACUCAUGGCAUUCAAGAACCCCAUAGCGGUUGACAUGCUCCUGGCCGAGAAGGGUGGCAUCUGCGCAAUGUUCUGUGACCAGUAUUGUUUAUUCCAAAUAUCAGAGCACCUGAUGGAUCACUCACAAGGGCCAUUCAAGGCCUCCGCACCCUGAACCACAAGAUGAAGGAGCACUUUGGUGUAAACACAUCAGCCUGGUCUGAGUGGUGAGGAAAAAAAAACGAAAAACUUUGGCAAUCCUAAAGAUUUGGUGUUCUCUGUCCUAGUUUCUAUAGCUGUUUGGAGCUAUUCUUGCAUUGUGUGGAUGUUGUUGUAUUCCCUGCAUAAAGGCAUCACUUAACUAACGUGUAACCACUGCUAUUGCAAAUUCAAAAUUGGCAGAAAUAUAUCCACUAUUGGCACAACAGGGUAAUGACAUUGAUAUUGUUGACCACGAUGAUGACGUUACGAGUUCUCUCCCACACCUGUUCUCUGAUCCAGAAGAUAACAAGUAAUUAGUACUAUAUUUUCCUCCAAGUGUAAGCCGAAAGGGUGAUCUAUUCGAUGAUUUAAGGAUUUGAGCAAAUGUAGGAUAAACAGGCGGUUAGUGUAGAAAUAAUUCUAAAUAGUAUUAAGUAACUGCUUCUGACUGCAAUGAAGAAAUACUUUGCUUUGCUCCAAUUCAGUUACUGCUCUGCCUGUAAUGAAGAAAUGCCUUGCUCUGCUCCAAUUCAGUUACUGUUUCUGCCUGCAAUGAAGAAAUGCUUUGCUCUGCUCCAAUUCAGUUACUGUCUCUGCCUGCAAUGAAGAAUGCUUUGCUCUGCUCUAGAAAACGUGGUAGCAAAUGUAGGAUAAACAGGGGGGAAAUGUAGGAAUAAUUGUGAUCAUUAUUAUCAUACAUCUGCUUUCAAUAAAGAAAUGCUUUGCUCUGCUCUAAAUAACAUGACAGCCUCCUAGCAGGAGAUAGCAAGAACAAAAACGUCUAAUCAUAAGAACUGUUAGAACUGCUGCCUGUUAAAGAAAUGAUGACCACAUAUGUAUUCAGCAAUCUUCCACACAUGCACAUGCACAUGAACAAACAUUUACACCUUGUUUCCAAUUGAUUUGCUUGCCGUCUCCUUUUUGUAACAUCCAUGUAAAUAAGGGGUGUCUUAAAACUAAAAAAAUAGAGGUGCUGAGAAGAGGAUAAUCAGAGAGUACCGUGGUGAAUUUUACGAGACAGUUUCUCUCCUCUCUCCUCACGAGACUUGAACUGGUGUCUUUGCUUUCUUUUUUGUCCUGUUUAAUGAACGUCUGAUUGGUGAACCUGACAAACACCCUGCUAUAUUGCAAGUUGUCCCACGUAGAAAUCAUUGAGGGGUCUGAAAUUUUCGUCAUAGGUGCAUGUCCUCUGUGAGAGGGAUAAUGUAAAAAGAAAAAUCUAGAAAUCACAAUGUAUGAUUUUUUUAACGAUUUGUGUGAUAUAGCUGCAAAUAAGUAUUUCAACACCUGUCUAUCAGCUAGAAUUCUGACCCUCAAAGACCUGUUAGUCCACCUUUAAAAGUCCACCUUCACUCCAUAUAUUAUCCUGAAUCAGAUGCACCUGUGUGAGGUUGUUAGCUGCAUCAAGACACCUGUCCACCCCAUACAAUCAAUAAGACUCAAACUUGUAACAUGGCUAAGAAAAAAAGAGCUGUCCAGACACCAGAGACAAAAUUGUACAACUCCACAUGGCUGGAAAGCACUACAGAGAAACUGCCAAGCAGCUUGGUGGAGAAAGGUCCACUGUUGGAGCAAUUAUUAGAAAAUGGAAGAACCUAAACAUGAUUGUCAAUCUCAAUCGGAGUGGAGCCCUAUGCAACAUAUUACACCGUGAGGUCUCAGUGAUCCUUAGAAAGGUGAAGAAUUAGCCCAGGACUACAUGACAGGACUUGGUCAAUGACCUGAAAAGAGCUGGGACCACCGUUUCCAAGGUGAUUUUCAUGGCGGGAGAUACAAAAAUCCAUAUACAACAACAUCAUGACGUGUGAUGAAAAUAUGGAUGGCUGCCUUUUUUUUUUUCUCAUCAAAAACAUAAAACAAAAAAAUCAUGCUUUAUGUGUCGGUGGCACUAUAAAUAGUGGGGGGCGCCCCCCCUAUGCCAGGAGGGCCACGUGUGACUUUUUUUUUUUUUUUUUGCUGUACUAGAAUCUAUGCGGGCAGUAUUAGCUCUUUAUUUUUUUUUAUUUUUAUGCACCGAGCAGGCGAUCUGAAGUCUUGUAAAAGAACCCUUACACAUUUUUUUUUUAACAGGAAUGAAAAGAAACGCGGAGAGACACGAAGACAGUACAACAAAAGAAAAUCACCUGAAAGCUAGAGUUCUGGAGUUCAAGAUGCGGAUCUGUUAAAGCAAACAAAAAUGACUCCAGCAAACCAUUGUGAGAAUGUAUCCACGAAUGAAGAAAACAUGGACCAGUGGUGAACCUUUCCAGGAGUGGCUGGCCUACUACAGUUAAGACUCCUCCAGGAGGUCACAAAGGAACCCAGCACCACAUCUGAAUAAACUCCAGGUGUUUCCUCAGUCAGGUCAGUGUUCAUGAGUCAACAAUAAUGUAGAGACUCAACAAAAAUGGUAUCCAUGGAAGAUGUCUAAGGCGAAAACUACUUACUUAGUGUUGGCCAAAAAGAACAUAAAUGCUCAUUUUACCUUACUCCUAAACAUCUGAAUGGUUCAAGACUCGUGGCAAAAUAUUUUAUGGACUGAUGAGAAGAAAGUUGAACAUUUUGGAAGGUGAGUGUCCUGUUACAGUUGUCAUAAAUGUAACGCAGCAUUUAUUUAAAAAAAACAUACCAACAGUCAAAAAUGGUAAAUGGUGUUGGUGUAAUGGUUUGGGGCUGCUUUUAUUCCUUCAUUACCUGGAACCUGGCUGAAAAAAAAAAACAAAGUAAGGAGUGACCGACUCAAAGGCUGGACUGCAAUCCAACUGAAAUGGUCUGCCAUGACCUAAAUAAGCCAAUUUAUGCUUUAAAAAAAAAAAAAAAAUCACUAGCGCUGCUGAAUUCUAACACUUCAGCAAGGAAGAGUGGGCCAAAAUAUUUCCAGAGAUGUGCAAGAUUGCCAGUUAGAGAAAAUGCACUUUAAUAACCUAAUAAUCAUUUCACUUUUUGCUUCUAAGGGUGGCCUGACCCUAUUCAGUAAUUAAGGUUUUGGGGGACAUUACUUUUUACACAAAGCCAGGUGGCUCUCAGUUUUUCUGACCCUUGGAACAUCUAAUAAUUUAAAAAGCUGUAUUGCUAAUUCUUACUGUGGUUAUCUUUGUUGUUUGAUGAUCUUCAACAUGUAAAUACAGUUUGUCAGAAAUUUAUAUUCCUUUAUGUCUCCUAAAUCCUAAUGGAAAAACCUGCAUAUUCAUCAUACCUCUUGAACCAGGAAGUAUCCCAAUAACAAAUUAACAGACAAAACCAUAACUAUACCCACCGAUUUUUUUUUCUUUUGUAAAUCAUUUGGCCUUGGUAGAUAUCUCUGCUUUACUGAACAACAACCAAAUUAUACAUUAUAGAAUUGCGAAAACAAAUCAAAUGGUGGCCUGUGACUUUCACAGUGCAUCGUAUGUACAGUAC
Molecule: RNA transcript, 5033 nt
Organism: Syngnathoides biaculeatus (alligator pipefish)
Lineage: Eukaryota; Metazoa; Chordata; Actinopteri; Syngnathiformes; Syngnathidae
Gene: rwdd1
Gene name: RWD domain containing 1
Exons: 13
Source: RefSeq, a predicted model, not a curated record